Molecule: ribosomal RNA, 253 nt
Filed under: uncultured bacterium
Lineage: Bacteria
Description: partial 16S ribosomal RNA
Rfam family: Bacterial small subunit ribosomal RNA
Source: RNAcentral
UACGUAGGUGGCAAGCGUUGUCCGGGCUUACUGGGUGUAAAGGGCGUGUAGGCGGGACUGCAAGUCAGAUGUGAAAUUCCCAGGCUCAACCUGGGAGCUGCAUGUGAAACUGUGGUUAUUGAGUGCUGAAGAGGUAAGAGGAAUUCCUAGUGUAGCGGUGAAAUGCGUAGAUAUUAUGAAGAACACCAGUGGCGAAGGCGGCUAUCUGGACCGUUACUGACGCUGAGGUGCGAAAGCGUGGGGAGCAAACAGG